AGAAAAAGAGAGAGAAAAGAAAGAAAGGAAAAUAAAGAAAGAAGAAGAAAGAGGAAGGAAAGAAGGGGGAUUUUUGUGCACGCACACCACAAGGAUCUUGCCAAGCUGAGUCGACUACGUAUCACAAAGCCUAGUCCUUUAGUUAGUGGCCGUUAGAGUGAGAGCAAUGAUGAAGAAGAAGAGCAUUGAGAGAAAGUGGGUGGCGAUAGCAGUAGUGGCAUAUCUACUCAUCAUGGUGGAUCAACUGCCUUCACCAACGAGUGCCUCUUUGCUUCCUGCUCAACAUGUUCCUAAUGCCCCUGGUGGACACGAAGAGAGCAAAAUGGGAUCCACAAGAAAAGCAUUAGGUGGUGGGUUCAAACUCAAGGAAGUUAUUGGUCUUGAUUCCUACAUUGAUUUCAGGCUGAACAAGAAGAGGAAAGCAGUAGAGUCGCGUAGCCUGAAGGAAAGUCCCAAGAUGUCUCCGC
This is a long non-coding RNA of Eucalyptus grandis, 467 nucleotides long. RefSeq lists it as uncharacterized. The record is from RefSeq and is a predicted model, not a curated record. The transcript has 3 exons. Lineage: Eukaryota; Viridiplantae; Streptophyta; Magnoliopsida; Myrtales; Myrtaceae.